GGCUACGGCUCAACCGUAGUAAGCUCUUGAAACUGGGAGACUUGAGUGCAGGAGAGGAGAGUGGAAUUCCUAGUGUAGCGGUGAAAUGCGUAGAUAUUAGGAGGAACACCAGUUGCGAAGGCGGCUCUCUGGACUGUAACUGACGCUGAGGCCCGAAAGCGUGGGGAGCAAACAGGAUUAGAUACCCUGGUAGUCCACGCUGUAAACGAUGAGUACUAGGUGUCGGGGGUUACCCCCCUCGGUGCCGCAGCUAACGCAUUAAGUACUCCGCCUGGGAAGUACGCUCGCACGAGUGAAACUCAAAGGAAUUGACGGGGACCCG
RNAcentral lists this ribosomal RNA (322 nucleotides) under Clostridioides difficile. Its description in RNAcentral is "bacterial SSU rRNA". It matches the Rfam family "Bacterial small subunit ribosomal RNA", at positions 600 to 923 of the family's 1533-position model. Lineage: Bacteria; Bacillati; Bacillota; Clostridia; Peptostreptococcales; Peptostreptococcaceae. The record is from RNAcentral.